CAGGGGGUUGUCUAAUUUUAGGAUAUUAGCUUUGGGAGCUAAAGGUGGGAGUUAAAAUCUCCUCUUCCUGA
Molecule: transfer RNA, 71 nt
Filed under: Chlorophthalmus nigromarginatus
Lineage: Eukaryota; Metazoa; Chordata; Actinopteri; Aulopiformes; Chlorophthalmidae
Description: tRNA-Pro
Rfam family: tRNA
About the family: Transfer RNA (tRNA) molecules are approximately 80 nucleotides in length. Their secondary structure includes four short double-helical elements and three loops (D, anti-codon, and T loops). Further hydrogen bonds mediate the characteristic L-shaped molecular structure. tRNAs have two regions of fundamental functional importance: the anti-codon, which is responsible for specific mRNA codon recognition, and the 3' end, to which the tRNAs corresponding amino acid is attached (by aminoacyl-tRNA synthetases). tRNAs cope with the degeneracy of the genetic code in two manners: having more than one tRNA (with a specific anti-codon) for a particular amino acid; and 'wobble' base-pairing, i.e. permitting non-standard base-pairing at the 3rd anti-codon position.
Source: RNAcentral